GGGCCACACCCACAGCAUAUGGAGGUUCUCUGGCUAGGGGUAGAAUUGAAACUGCAGCUGCCAGCCUACACCACAGCCACAGCAACACCAGAUCUGAGCCGUCUGUGACCUACACCACAGCUCAUGACAACUCUGGAUCUUUAACCCACUGAUCGAAGACAGGGAUCGAACCUGUGUCCUCAUGGAUGCUAGUCAGAUUUGUUUCCACUGAGCCAAGACGGGCACUCCUCUUGAAGAUUUCUUAAUUUCAUUGGUUUGAGUCCACACAUAAUGCUCCUGGGCACAAUGUAACAUCCCAUUCAUCACACACAGGCAAUCCUAGUACCCAGCUUCCUGGGAAAGGACACAGCCUUUGAGAUUUGCUCUGGGGCUGACAAGCACAAUCAUGGUGCCAUCCUGGUCUUUCCUUUCUCAUGCCAUCUGCCAUCAAUUCACAAGAUUUUUUACCAAUUCACACUGGGUCUUAUCCUCAAGAUAUUUAAUAAAACAUAAAUUCCCACUGGUGGAGGGAAGAAAGCAAAAGGUAUAACAAAUAGUUUGCCUUGGGUUAUGCAAAACCUAUCAUAUUGCCUUUUAAUACUGGAUCAAUGAACUUUGUAUGCAUGUGCUCCAAAUUACGUAAAGGUGUUACAAUUUGAAAACUCGAGUUAUAAUAUUUCAUGUUUUGCAUUCCUUUCUGUUAGAAGCAUCCAACAUUUCCCUAUAAUUUUAUUUUAUCAUCACUUUCCCAGUGUCACUGUUCAAACUGCAUGUGCUACUUUGCUCAAAUUAGACCUACUUAGCAACAUUUUUAAGAACUAAAAUUGUGCUGAAAUACAUUUACAUCAGCUCUCUCAUCCCAUCUUUAGAGAAACAGGCAAACAACUCUAUUGUGCCAGUUCUCAAAAAACAUUUUUUAAAGCAAGCUUUGGCAAAUUAGAUAAUUAUUAAGCAAAACAAUACAAGCCAACAUGAUGCAUUAACAGUUUCUAACGUUAUUGAACCGAACGACAAGAGAGGCACUUUGUUCUUACUUACUUGGCAGACAAUUAUUCUUUGCUCCAGCAAUACUUCAUGUGCAUACUUCCAAGGAAGACUCAUGAAUGCAAAGGUUCAUUAAGGGAAUGAGAGAAUCGAUUGUAAAAUGGAAAAGGCCGGGUGAGGUCAUAUUUCAAAGAGAUGAAUAUGGUACACUCCAUUAUGUUGUAAUCAGCCUCCCUCUUCCAUUCCACAAACUGUAAUAGUUUAUCCUCAUUUUUAAAAAAGGAAAAACAAUUCUUGCAGCCUUUGGACCACCUCCAUCCUGAAGCCAGAGAAGGAGUCAGGCAUGCUGCAGGCAUUUUCCAUCCCGUGGUCCUUGGAGUCCACCAACCAAUGUUACUGACCAUUUUUCUCCUUAAUAAGAAAAACAUUCAAAUGCUACUAUUAUUGCUGCCCUGGCAAACCACACUUAAUAGAUGGUACUUGCCCUGUACAUGACACUUACAACAUCAAUCAAGACUGAAUUUUAUUUCAAUUUAUUAUGGUUUCUGUCCAAAUGAAAAAAUGCUUAUAUCGUAAAAAUGUCUUGCAAUAUAAAUGUGCUAAUGAUGUAAUCACAGAUUUCAGAAAAAAAAAUCCUGAUUUGGAUUAAACAUUGCCCAUCCUUCCUCCUAAAUUCAUCACUGAAGUUAAGCAUAACAAAAUAAUGGGACCAUUAGGAGGUGAUGUUGGUACAAAGCAGAAGUCACAUGUUAAAUAUUUUAUAUCUUUAUGAGGGAGUUUUAUUAUAUUUCCCUUCUUUAAGAAGGGAGUUGAUAUUUCCAAAUGAUCUGCGAUAAAUGACUUUAAUUUCACUUUCAUUGAAGGCUCAUUUGCAAUUUUUUUUUUACCCCUGGAAAAGACCAUUUAUCAGGGAGCAACACUACCCAGCCUAUUAGCCUGGAAUUUAUCCUUGGCCACAGCUGUUGGCCGGCAGAGGCUCCUCUGGGUCCUACAAAGUUCCUAGUGGGCUUCUGUCCCCAGUGAGGGGUGAAGUCAGAUGUCAAGAGAUGCUUUUUACCAAUGGUAAAGAAAAUCAUGCACAGUUCUGCUUCUCACUUGACUGGCCAGUGACUGAAUCUUGCUCCAAACAGCCCAGCAGUUGUCUCAAGAGGCUGGAAGGUCUGGGAAAUAAAGUAUCUAUUCUAGGCUGCAAAAGCCUCUCCUUGAGUGGAUCUCAGAACCACCUGGAAAGCUUGUUACACUUUCCAUUCCAGAAGGUGAAGGAAGUUCCCAGCUUGGGCACUGGGAACUUGCCUCUGUACACAGCAUCAUGUUUUGUUCAAGGUUCUGCUAUUUUAUUUUAUUUUUUCUUGAAAUUUUAAAUAAUUUUUGAAAGAGGGGCUCUACAUUUUCAUUUUUCAAUGUGUCCUACAAAUUAAAGAGCUGGUUACGACAGAAGUUAAAGGGUACAGCAGGAGAAGUGACCUUUCUAACAAGAACCCAGGCGAUGCUGAUGCCACUGGUCUGGGGAUUAUGAGAGCCACUGCUAGAAGCCAGAUUACUAAAUAUUUGCUGUUCCAAGCCACCUCAAGAAAGGCAUGGUAAUGAAACAGAAUUUUGGCUAACAAAGUGCAAGUAGAAUUCUACUAAGAAGUCCACAUAACCCUUCCAAACCAUAGAUUCUCCACCUUUUCUCCUGCCCUUCCUGCCUGGAAGCAGCUGUGGGGCCUGGCAACACAGCACUCACCUUGCAACAAAAGUUCAAUGCUGAACAUGUUGGCGCAGAAAGCUAAAAACAGCCAACACCGUACAUAUUUCUACUCUAGGGGAAGGAGAACUCCUAGGAAAUGGCAUGGAUCAGGAAAAGAAAUCCAUGUACUACAAUUAUUACACAAAAUUGAAACGUAUAAAAAAGUACUCAUCCCAAACCCUUGGGAAAACAAAACACUGCUAACAUUUGGGCAUUGUGUGCUCUGAUAUUAUUUGUUCUGGCACAGAGGUAUUUUUGGACAUUGCUGUGAUCAUACUCUGCAAUCACACUACGUAUUAGAUUUGUAUCUUAAUGUCAUCAGAGAAAUGGUCACUACCAAGGCUGUUGUCUAAUUUUACGUAUUCUCAUGAUAAAAAUGUUCUGAAAUUGUUGGUGCUUCAUCUCCCAAGCACUGUCUUACUUGCUGGCAACAAUCCUGUGAGUGGGGCAUGGAAGGGAGCAAUGCUCCAGUGCAGCAAUGAAGCCCUGGAACGCCACAGUGUCUGACAGUGCCCGCUAGCCUGCUAACAGAAUCUACUCCCAGCCUGUCCACUCCAAAGGGGAAAAUAAUCCCUUCUCAAGGUCACAAAAUGCCAUGAGACCUAAAGUCUGUACUUCCUCCUCUUGUCCAAUGUAGGACGUUAUACUAACUUUUCAUUUUCCUCUAUUUCUAAGAGAUGCCUCUGGGAAAAUAAAAAGGUUCCAUAAUGAGUAUAGUCUGGAAGCCUGAUUUCUACAAAUUUCUUCUUGGUCCUUCACCAUGCAAAGUAUAAAGUAAAGGUUCUUAAGAGUCCUGUAGCUAUUUUCUUUUUAGGUUUUGUUUAAACCAAAACUUUCAAAGUUAUUAGACCAUAUUAAGUCUUUCUUCAAGGAAAAAAAUCUCACCAACAUUUCUCAGAACAAUGGGGUCUAUGGAACAUGUUGUAAUAUAGAUAGAAGUCCCCUCUGUUUUGCUUUUUUAAUUUUUUUUGUUGUUUUGCUUUUUAGGGCCACACCUGCAGCUUACAGACAUUCCCAGGCGAGGGUCGAAUCAGAGCCGGCACAGCAGCAGCCACAGCCACAGCAACCCAGGAUCUGCCAUGUCUGGGACCUACACCACAGCUCAUGGCAGUGCCAGAUCCCUGACCCACCGAGUGAGGCCAAGGAUCAAACCCUCAUCCUCAUGGAUACUCAUUAGAUUUGUUUCCAUUUCACCACAAUGGGAUCUCCUUCCGGUUUCAAGAUUUUAUUGAAUAAAAAAUAUAGAAGGCCCAAAAAAAGAAUGAUAACUGCAUCAAGUUACCAAGUAUCAAUUUUGUACCCACAAACAUUUGAUCUAAAUAAUUUUAUAUUUUAUAGUUUUUAAAUAUAGUUUUAUACUUUUAAUAUACUUUUAUAGUAUUAGUCAUGGCACUUGAGAGGAUUAAGAAAUAUGGCCACUUUAACGUCAUGAAAUUUUUAUGAAAAUAAAAGUGGGGAAUUAAAUUCAAGAGCAAUCUUCCCCUUUACAAACGCAUAAUUUAGGCAAAAGAAUUUCUUUUGAAAAAUGUCAUGACCAAGAACUACACAUGCUACCCCAAAUUAAUAGCCCUAACUUGAGUUGCUGAAAUCACCCUGAGCGUUUUACACCACAUAUUUAUUUUACUAUUAGGUUUUUCAACAAAGUUCACUUUGGUCAUAUUUAAUUGAGUUAAACAGUUAUGCCUAAGGUUAGAAAUUAUGAAAUGAUGGAUAUGAACAACUACCCAACAUGGCAGUGCCCUGCUUUAUGGAGGAGGAGAGACAGGGCAUGUUGCUGGCUUUACACGUUUAUUUAAUUAGCAGCAGUCUAAUUUAGACAUAAGUGUCAGAGACAGACAUCAGGGAUGCCAAAUCAGACAGCUUCUGACUCCCAGCCAUUUUCUACAAGCUCAGCUUACGGACAACAGCUCCCCAUUCAGAGAAAUUGAAAUGCAUUAUUUUCCUGGAAGUCUGGCCAUUGGUUGGAUGUGAAGGGUUAACUUCUGGGCAAGUUCAAUGUGUGCAUUAUUUUUCUAGGUCAGUUUCCAUAACAGCUCAAUUUUUGGAAUGAGACAUAUCUAAAAUAGAGGUUUAUUGUUCCACAAAAGAAGUAAAUACUCCCCCAUUCUAAAUUCAUCAUUCAAACAAGUCUUGAUUAUUCUAGCCAGCUUUGGAAAAAUCCUGAGAUAAGCAAGAGGGAAGGUUAGGCUGUACUUUUUACAGUCUUUUUUAUUAUAACAAAAUUGUGCCUAACACAAUUUAUAAUUUUAAUUAUUUUAAGCGGACAGUUCAGCGAUGUUAAGCACAUUCACAAUGCUGUACACCCAUCGCUACUGCCCAUCUGCAGAACUUUAACAUCCUAAACUGAAACUCCGUACCCAUUAAAUUCUAACUCCCCAUGUUCCCCUCUCCCUCAGUCCUGGGAACUACAAUUCGACUCCCCAUCUCUGUGAACUUGCCUGUCCUAGGUACCUCAUGUAACUGGAAUCGCGCAAUGCCUGUCCUCUUGGGUCUGUCCUAUUUCACUUAGCAUAAUGUCCUCAAGGUGCCUCCAUGUUACAGCAUGUUACAGAAUUUCAUUCCCAUUUAGGGCUGAAUAAUAUCCAUUGUAUGCUACACAAAACAUUUUGUUCAGCCAUUCAUCCAUCCAGGGAUAUUUUCAUUGUUCCCACCUUAUGGCUCUUGUGAAUAUUGCUCUUAUGAACAAACAUCUUUUGAGUCCCUGAUCUCAACAUUUAGGGAACAUACCUAGGAGCCUAAAUAUUGGAUCA
Molecule: long non-coding RNA, 5442 nt
Filed under: Sus scrofa (pig)
Lineage: Eukaryota; Metazoa; Chordata; Mammalia; Artiodactyla; Suidae
Description: lncRNA (ENSSSCG00000054341.1)
Source: RNAcentral